This 195-nucleotide ribosomal RNA is filed under the name Salmonella enterica subsp. enterica serovar Oranienburg. RNAcentral's name for it is "partial 16S ribosomal RNA". It matches the Rfam family "Bacterial small subunit ribosomal RNA", at positions 1 to 203 of the family's 1533-position model. RNAcentral also lists the same sequence under 10 other names. Lineage: Bacteria; Pseudomonadati; Pseudomonadota; Gammaproteobacteria; Enterobacterales; Enterobacteriaceae. The record is from RNAcentral.
AAAUUGAAGAGUUUGAUCAUGGCUCAGAUUGAACGCUGGCGGCAGGCCUAACACAUGCAAGUCGAACGGUAACAGGAAGCAGCUUGCUGCUUCGCUGACGAGUGGCGGACGGGUGAGUAAUGUCUGGGAAACUGCCUGAUGGAGGGGGAUAACUACUGGAAACGGUGGCUAAUACCGCAUAACGUCGCAAGACCA